CACUAAAGGAGCGGGGCAGGGAGGGACGAGCCGCCCGCUGAUUGGGCGGCGCGGCCCGGCAGGUGCGCUGCCAUUGGAAGAGGCGCGCACAGGUAAAGGCCGCCGCCGAGCUGCAGGUGGUGGACACUGAGCUUGGUACCAUGACGCAGUGGAGCAGGAAGUAAUCCCGUCGUGGGGAUUUCCGUGGUAUCCCCCAUCACAGUGAUGAGCAGGCAGCAACUUGAGAACCAAACAAGACACAAGAGAAUGUUAGAAGGUCCUGUCACCCUGGCUCUCCUGAGAUGCUGUUUGUAAGCUUUCUCCAGCGGCUGGACUGGUGGAGAAUUUCUGCAAGUCAAGAGGAUCCACAGCAUCAGCAUCAGUGAAGCUUCUGAACUCCUAGACGUGUAUGGAUAAGCGCAGCUACCUGAUCAAGAAGGCUCUCUCCUCUGACAGCUGGGAGACUCAACACGACACAGGGUGAAGCUACCAUGAGACUCAAUCGUGUCAUUGAAUCAGAAGUGUCCUCAGAUCAUAUCACAGGCUGUGACAAUGUGUAGGCACCACGGUCCCCACCGCAAAGCACUUAGAGUCCAAGCCAGAGAGCCUGUAAGGAGGGGGGUCAUAGUAAAAUAGGAGUGUCUGUGCUAUUUUGAAUGUUGUGCUUUAUGGCUGUAUUUUUUCAAUAAAGCCCAUUUUUCAUUUUAUUGCAUUUCGAUGUACGAGCAUAUGAAACCUUGCAGAUGUUCCAGUAAGAGCGGGCUGCCUCUCUGUGCAUCCUUCUGUGGGGAAAUGUCUGUUCUGUGCAGUUACCCAGGAGGACUGAGCUUUAUGAGGGAGCAGUUUGGUCUGAGCUGCUUUCCCUUUUUGGCCUGUUGAGAGAGCACUAAGGGGGCAAAGCCAGCCCCCCUUACAGCCUCGCCAGGCCACAGCAAGGGGCUGCUGCCUGUGGCUGUGUGCAGACACCCUCCUGCUCCACAGGAGCCCAUCCCGUUACGCUCAGCAGAGCAAGUCUGAACGGGGUGAAAUGAAGAGGAAAUGCCAGUUCCAGCCCUCCCAGAUGGUUCCGGGCUACUUUGUACGCUAACUUUUUCAGCCUCAGGAGGUUUUGCAUAUUAAUUCCUCACCAGCCACAAACUGCUUUUGGAUCAGCGCUGCGCUGCCGAGAUCUUGGAAAGCCACCCCACCGGAGUGAUUCGGGAGACGUGAGCUCCGCUGUGUUUAUGGGGCUGCCUGCUCUGCUCUCCUGUUUUGGUAAUCCUCUGCUCUCCUGCAGGUAUUAACACGCACAAGAAAGCUUCGUCACAAUAAACAAUAAGCCAAA
Calidris pugnax (ruff) is the source of this 1303-nucleotide long non-coding RNA. RefSeq lists it as uncharacterized. Lineage: Eukaryota; Metazoa; Chordata; Aves; Charadriiformes; Scolopacidae. The transcript is spliced from 4 exons. The record is from RefSeq and is a predicted model, not a curated record.